Pistacia vera is the source of this 458-nucleotide long non-coding RNA. RefSeq lists it as uncharacterized. The record is from RefSeq and is a predicted model, not a curated record. The transcript is spliced from 3 exons. Lineage: Eukaryota; Viridiplantae; Streptophyta; Magnoliopsida; Sapindales; Anacardiaceae.
AAGAAGAAAGAGAAGAGAAAAAGAAGAGAAGAAAGAAAAGAGAGAAAAUGGAGAAAAGAAAAGAGAGAAAGAAGAAAGAAAGGAAGAAGGGAGAGAACGUAGAGAGAGAGGAGUAGAGAACGAUGAAGGUGGCUGGAAAAGUGGCCACUGGUGAAUAAAACUCCUGUGAUCGGAAAGAAUGGAGAAAGAUCAAGCAUAUGGGAGGGAGGCAAGCGAGGGCAUCGUUAGAGGAUUUCAAUCUUUUUUUGGCUUAAGGGUUAAGCUCCAAAAUAGUCAAGAAGGAGAUCGUGCAAAUGAGUGAAUCUCAUUCAAGAUUGAGCCAUACGACUUCAUUUCAUCAUAUGUGUCAUAGUUGUGUUUUAUUUUCCGUUGCAAAGUUUAUGUUUCUUCAUCAUGUAUUUAUUUCAUGUUUUAGAUUAUAAAAGAUAUGGAAAAAUGUGAAACUAUACGUUUCAUUU